RNAcentral lists this long non-coding RNA (1730 nucleotides) under Macaca mulatta (Rhesus monkey). Its description in RNAcentral is "lncRNA (ENSMMUG00000064901.1)". The record is from RNAcentral. Lineage: Eukaryota; Metazoa; Chordata; Mammalia; Primates; Cercopithecidae.
GUUUUUGUCUACAUGGCUGCAGAGACUGGCCAGGGUUUUGUCUGCCAUCCACCUUCAGAACGGUGGAAACAGUUGAAAAGAACAUUGAGGUGAAGCUUGGGCUGGUUUGUAACCAGGUAUCAUCUUAGAAACUCUCCUUGCCCGUUUCAUGGCGAAUGGUCACUUUUUCUAGGCCUCCUUUCUUGUGUGGGCAGGGGUCAGCAUGCACGGGGCUCCUUUUUAGAAUAUUGGUGCAAAUAUCACAUCAGUUUGCAUAAGUUAAGUCUCCAACUGCUUUUUCCUCCUGUGAAUCAAACUUGCUUUUUUCCUGGCUAGAAUAUUGCAAAAGCAAAACAAACAAACAAACAGAGAAAGAUGUGGGUUGGUUCGCCUGCUUGUGCACAUUUCUUUCAGUGGGUCAAUGAAUCCCCCAUUGUUUGCUCCUACAAGCCCCUUGUUGUGUCCAUGGGUAGCCCUGUACCAGGUAAUGAAAGGAUUUCUCUUAUGUUUCUGUUCUUUGUUUUCAAGGAACAACGGAGAUAUGGUGUUUUCAGACAAGGGAAUAAAUUCCCGGAAGCAAGUGGCCAGGAAUGAAAAUCCUGGAGAACAAAGUGGAAUAAACCCGUAUUCAACGGUUCCUGUUGAUUUUCUUUCCUCCCUAAACACUGACCUCCCGCAGUCUUCACCAGCAGUAGAGCUGAAUCCCUUGAAAACACUCAUAGCACGAUGACAAGGUUUGGCAGCUGCAGUCUUGAAGACCAGGAAGUGAGGUGGGUAAAUACCUAGGAUGUACAGCCUCAUGCUUGUCAGUGCCCCUAGAGCGGGAGCCUCAGCAGCUGGGUUCCAGUUCCUGACUAGUGCUUGCUGGGUGCUCCUGGGGGCUCGCCUUCCCUGCUCGGGUGCUCCUUGUCUUUUGAGGGAGGGAAACGGUAUCCACUACGGGCAGCGAGGGUCUCUCUGAGUGCCACUCUGCCACUCUCUGCUGGGGUCCCUCCAUGCUGUCUGUCCCUGUGGCUCCCCCAACCCCAUGCCCAUCUGCUCCCUUCUCUGCCAUCGUCCCUCCUUUCACGGCAAUUGUCCCGCUGUCCCUUCACAGCCUAUCUCUCCCCUGAGCCUCUGGUGGUGUGAUUCAUCUCCCUCUGGUGGACUCAGGGCUGGCCAUGCGCUGCCUGCAGCUUGCACUAAUCAUAAUAGCAGCCACAGCUAAUACGUGAAUUGCUUUUCAGAGUUCAAGGAGGCUUCCAGCCUCACGAGCCCUUGGAUCCUUGCAAUAGUCCCUUGAAAUGGUAAGACUUUGGAUGCUUUAUACAUUUAUGUAAAAUGUAUUUUACAUUUAUAAAUGGAUGCAUUUAUUUUGGUUUUAAUAACAUAUUACUUUCUCAGGAACACAUAUUUAAACAGACAUUUUUGUUGAUCAAUAACAAUAAAGCUUUUUAAGAGUUUAUAUAAUCUACACUAAAUCUUUCACAAAAGCUAGGAGUAGAAUAUGAUAUAAUAGGCACUAAUUACUCUAAUUUUCUCUUACAUAGGGCAAGAAUAAAUACCUCGCAUUUUAUAGUGCUUUAUACUUCACCAGAAAAACCAAACCUACAUUUAAUUCCCAAUAUAAUAGGCUCAUCCAGCAAUCUUUGAGGUGAGGGAAACAAGACUUAUUAUCUCAAGUUUUAUGGUGGAGGAAAUAAAGGUUUAUGAUAAGUGAAAUAAUUUGUUCAGAGUUGCAAAUACCUCGUAGAUAGCAGAGUAGAGUUUGA